RNAcentral lists this ribosomal RNA (660 nucleotides) under uncultured bacterium. Its description in RNAcentral is "bacterial SSU rRNA". It matches the Rfam family "Bacterial small subunit ribosomal RNA", at positions 94 to 788 of the family's 1533-position model. The record is from RNAcentral.
AGUGGCGGACGGGUGAGUAACGCGUGAGAAUCUGCCUUGGGGUCGGGGACAACCACUGGAAACGGUGGCUAAUACCGGAUAAGCCGAUUGGUGAAAGAUUUAUUGCCCGAAGAGGAGCUCGCGUCUGAUUAGCUAGUUGGUGAGGUAAGAGCUCACCAAGGCAGCGAUCAGUAGCUGGUCUGAGAGGACGAUCAGCCACACUGGGACUGAGACACGGCCCAGACUCCUACGGGAGGCAGCAGUGGGGAAUUUUCCGCAAUGGGCGAAAGCCUGACGGAGCAAGACCGCGUGAGGGAGGAAGGCUCUUGGGUUGUAAACCUCUUUUCUCAGGGAAGAAGCUCUGACGGUACCUGAGGAAUCAGCCUCGGCUAACUCCGUGCCAGCAGCCGCUGUAAUACGGAGGAGGCAAGCGUUAUCCGGAAUUAUUGGGCGUAAAGCGUCCGCAGGUGGCGAUUCAAGUCUGCUGUCAAAGCACGGGGCUUAACUCCGUAAAGGCAGUGGAAACUGAAUAGCUAGAGUGCCGUAGCGGUAGAGGGAAUUCCCGGUGUAGCGGUGAAAUGCGUAGAGAUCGGGAAGAACAUCGGUGGCGAAAGCGCUCUACUGGACGGCAACUGACACUCAGGGACGAAAGCUAGGGGAGCGAAUGGGAUUAGAUACCCC